GGUGCCUGAUAUUAACAUGCAUUACACGGAGCAUUAAGCCGGUCUCAUCCGCCCCUAUCGCCCGGUUCACCUCAUUGUCCGACAGAAAGAAGAGCCAUUACUUUCUCUGAGCUGAUGCGCAACAGCCACCUGACCGUGACCCGUUACUACUGCCUCAGCGGUAACAGGAUGAAACAACUCCAAGGGGGGCAUCAAGAAAGGUAAUAGAUGGCGUCUAGAAGCUUAAUUUUAUUUGGUCUUUUCAUACUCUUAAAACAGAUGUUCGGGAUUCUACAAACAUGUUUCCAACUUAUCACUGCUGGCCCACAACGAAUAGACGAAUCAAGCGGAUUUAUCACAAUCAUUUGUGAUCCGAUGGCGCCAUCAUCUGGGGACUAUGAAGAAACGGAGACGAGGUCACGAAAGGUGCCGGUGCCUAUCACCGCUCGGGGAGAAGCAAGACAGGUCACCAGUCCAUCGCAGGGCAUCAUGGGAACAAACAGAACGAACAACCCAUUCAUGUUCACAUUCGCACCCAGGGAGAAUAGAGAGAGAUCGAUUAACCUAACCGUGAGAGAACCCACUCAUGCACUGGACAACAUGUAAACUCUGUGCAAACAAACCUCUUGACUUCCUAGCUGCAACGCAGCAGUGCUACCUACUGCGCCACUGUGUAGUUCAACAACCAAUUCAUCAGUUUAGAAUAUACCAGAUUUUUCAUAUAAAGAGUGACGUUAUUUCAACGAGUCCUUGAUGCAAGGCACUCCAGUAGGGUUAUUGCUGCUUUUGAAGGGGUACAUGUCCACAGCAUACCAGACCCUCUACUUAGCAAAGAGCGUGGGCCAACAGGAGUCUCUCCAGGACCUUCAUGAUGUGGGCAACCGGUCUAUAAGUCGUUAAUGACUGAUUGGUGAGUUUUCUUGUUACCAGAACCAGGCAGGAUAUCUUCCACAACCGAACCUACUCUUCAGUCAAGCUAAAGUUGAAGAGGUGCUGCAGAAUCCCACAGAUCUGCUUUUCAGGAUUCUGGAACUGACACCAUCUGGACCUGCAGCCUUGUUCCGGAUGAGUCUCUCCAGUUGCCUCUUCACUUGACUAUGGGGGAAUUUUUCUACCAUAAUUCUAGAGCACACAUUUUCAGUCUGAAAGCAGGAUUUCAUAGCAGAAAAUUCCCCCGACACUUAACUUCUAAAGUGGGAGGAGGAGGAAAAGGGAGCAGCAGCAUCUCCCGAUUUGGUUGAAGAAAAACUUGUGGAAUCAGAAAAGUUCAUGACUCAGGUGGAAGACAAAACAUCUGAAAUUUGACAAGACAGCUGCGGGUAAAAGGAUGGUGGAUGUCUGUUUGUCUGGGGUCAGGAAAGGAGGAUGUUGAGAUUGUUCCUGAACUAAAUCUGAUGAAGAAUGUGUUCAACUCGUUUGCUCAGUCUUAAAAUAUUAAUUAAUUACCUGCCAGGUAAAUUAGUUGACUCAGCUGAAUGAAAUCAAAAUUAAUGCGUGAGUAUGUUUAUUGAUCACAUUUAAAAUGGUAUUGAGAUAAAUUGAAUCUGAUGACUUUAAGGCCUUUAGCAUUACAUCUACUUAUGGCGCCACCUGCUGGACAUUACGCAGAGUAACGGGAAUUUAGGAAUCUAGUGUGUUAAAAAGACUUGGGGAUCGUAAUUCUAGAAAGAAAGUAAUGUCUUCUAAAUGGUUCAUUUGUAAUUUGAGAAGUUUGUACUUUUCCUUGUCAUUUACAGGGAAGCCCACUAAUACAUAAAACUCAAAGAGUUUAUAGACUGUACUUUUACAUUUUCCUUCAUACGUUUCAUUUAUAUUUUUGUCAGUUUCAUUGUCGUGGGUAACUAUUUUAA
This is a long non-coding RNA of Poecilia reticulata (guppy), 1829 nucleotides long. RefSeq lists it as uncharacterized. NCBI's taxonomy places the organism in Eukaryota, Metazoa, Chordata, Actinopteri, Cyprinodontiformes, Poeciliidae. The record is from RefSeq and is a predicted model, not a curated record.